This 252-nucleotide unclassified non-coding RNA is filed under the name Hevea brasiliensis (rubber tree). The record is from RNAcentral. Lineage: Eukaryota; Viridiplantae; Streptophyta; Magnoliopsida; Malpighiales; Euphorbiaceae.
UGUAAACACAAUAUAUAAUCAAUUAGGGAGCUCAGGUCACCCUCUACAUACUCAUACAACAUAAAAAUAAAUGGGAGCUGAGCUCCCUCAUCCAGUCCCUCAACAUGCAUAAAAUAACGAGUUUACAGGUCCAAAAUAACAAUUUAUAUUACAGACCCAAUUCAAUAAAUACUUCUAACACAUGUGAAAAUUCUAGAAGUUUAUAGAAUUAUACAAACAUGAAUAGACGACCUGCGAGGGAGAAAAGCAGGU